This 320-nucleotide ribosomal RNA is filed under the name uncultured eukaryote. RNAcentral describes it as "partial 18S ribosomal RNA". It matches the Rfam family "Eukaryotic small subunit ribosomal RNA", at positions 1470 to 1796 of the family's 1831-position model. The record is from RNAcentral.
CCCUUAGAUGUUCUGGGCCGCACGCGCGCUACACUGACGAAUGCAACGAGCUUAUAACCUUGGCCGAAAGGUCUGGGUAAUCUCCAAAUUUCGUCGUGAUGGGGAUAGAUUAUUGCAAUUAUUAAUCUUCAACGAGGAAUGCCUAGUAAGCGCAAGUCAUCAGCUUGCGUUGAUUACGUCCCUGCCCUUUGUACACACCGCCCGUCGCACCUACCGAUCGAAUGGUCCGGUGAAAUCUCGGGACGGCGGCUUGGUCGCUUGCGUCCGACUGCUGAAACUUGAUUAAACCAUAUCAUUUAGAGGAAGGUGAAGUCGUAACA